GUGCCAGCAGCCGCGGUAAUACGGAGGGUGCAAACGUUGCUCGGAAUCAUUGGGCGUAAAGCGUGCGUAGGCGGCGCGGCAAGUCGGAUGUGAAAGCCCUCGGCUCAACCGAGGAAGUGCAUUCGAAACUACCGUGCUCGAGUACCGGAGAGGGUGACGGAAUUCCCGGUGUAGAGGUGAAAUUCGUAGAUAUCGGGAGGAACACCUGUGGCGAAGGCGGUCACCUGGACGGAUACUGACGCUGAGGCACGAAAGCGUGGGGAGCAAACAGGAUUAGAAACCCUCGUAGUCC
RNAcentral lists this ribosomal RNA (292 nucleotides) under uncultured bacterium. RNAcentral describes it as "partial 16S ribosomal RNA". It matches the Rfam family "Bacterial small subunit ribosomal RNA", at positions 505 to 796 of the family's 1533-position model. The record is from RNAcentral.